This 198-nucleotide small nucleolar RNA is filed under the name Meriones unguiculatus (Mongolian gerbil). Its description in RNAcentral is "Small nucleolar RNA SNORA74 (ENSMUGG00000017352.1)". It matches the Rfam family "Small nucleolar RNA SNORA74". Rfam says of the family: U19 belongs to the H/ACA class of snoRNAs. snoRNAs bind a number of proteins (including dyskerin, Gar1p and Nop10p in the case of the H/ACA class) to form snoRNP complexes. This class are thought to guide the sites of modification of uridines to pseudouridines by forming direct base pairing interactions with substrate RNAs. Lineage: Eukaryota; Metazoa; Chordata; Mammalia; Rodentia; Muridae. The record is from RNAcentral.
UCCAACAGUUGUCAGCUAUCCGGGCUAUGUGGUGCCUGUGAUUGUGUUACACUGUUGGAAGAGCAAACGCUGUUGAACUAAGGGUUAGCUCCGAGCACUGUUUUGGUGUCAGGUGCUAAGUACCUUCAGGCAGUGAUUUGCAUCCCUGAGAGUGGAAUGACUCCUUGUGGAGUUGGUCCUGGUCUAGGUGCAAACAGA